RNAcentral lists this ribosomal RNA (800 nucleotides) under Halobacillus sp. JSM 101032. Its description in RNAcentral is "bacterial SSU rRNA". It matches the Rfam family "Bacterial small subunit ribosomal RNA", at positions 36 to 805 of the family's 1533-position model. The record is from RNAcentral. Lineage: Bacteria; Bacillati; Bacillota; Bacilli; Caryophanales; Bacillaceae.
CGGGGGGGCGUGCUAUACAUGCAGUCGAGCGCGGGAAGCGAGUGGAUCCCUUCGGGGUGAAGCUCGUGGAACGAGCGGCGGACGGGUGAGUAACACGUGGGCAACCUGCCUGUAAGAUCGGAAUAACCCCGGGAAACCGGGGCUAAUGCCGGGUAAUACUUUCUUUCGCAUGAAGGAAAGUUGAAAGAUGGCUUCUCGCUAUCACUUACAGAUGGGCCCGCGGCGCAUUAGCUAGUUGGUGAGGUAACGGCUCACCAAGGCGACGAUGCGUAGCCGACCUGAGAGGGUGAUCGGCCACACUGGGACUGAGACACGGCCCAGACUCCUACGGGAGGCAGCAGUAGGGAAUCUUCCGCAAUGGACGAAAGUCUGACGGAGCAACGCCGCGUGAACGAUGAAGGUCUUCGGAUCGUAAAGUUCUGUUGUUAGGGAAGAACAAGUACCGUGCGAAUAGAGCGGUACCUUGACGGUACCUAACGAGGAAGCCCCGGCUAACUACGUGCCAGCAGCCGCGGUAAUACGUAGGGGGCAAGCGUUGUCCGGAAUUAUUGGGCGUAAAGCGCGCGCAGGCGGUUCCUUAAGUCUGAUGUGAAAGCCCACGGCUCAACCGUGGAGGGUCAUUGGAAACUGGGGAACUUGAGGACAGAAGAGGAGAGUGGAAUUCCACGUGUAGCGGUGAAAUGCGUAGAUAUGUGGAGGAACACCAGUGGCGAAGGCGACUCUCUGGUCUGUUUCUGACGCUGAGGUGCGAAAGCGUGGGUAGCAAACAGGAUUAGAUACCCUGGUAGUCCACGCCGUAA